AACGCACAUUGCGCCCGCCAGUAUUCUGGCGGGCAUGCCUGUCCGAGCGUCAUUUCAACCCUCCAGCGCGUUCUCGCUGGGCGUUGGGGACCGGGCCCGCCGCAAGGCGGGCGUGGCCCCGAAACGAAGUGGCGGCCGUCCCGUGGACCCCCCUGCGCAGUAACUCACCUCGCAUCGGACAGCGGAGCGGCCUCGCCCGUCAACCCCAAGACAACAUCAAGGUUGACCUCGGAUCAGGUAGGAAUACCCGCUGAACUUAA
This 260-nucleotide unclassified non-coding RNA is filed under the name uncultured fungus. RNAcentral's name for it is "partial contains 5.8S ribosomal RNA, internal transcribed spacer 2, and large subunit ribosomal RNA". The stretch from base 1 to 52 matches the Rfam family "5.8S ribosomal RNA", at positions 103 to 154 of the family's 154-position model. The record is from RNAcentral. Lineage: Eukaryota; Fungi.